RNAcentral lists this unclassified non-coding RNA (449 nucleotides) under Drosophila virilis. RNAcentral describes it as "GJ17522". Lineage: Eukaryota; Metazoa; Arthropoda; Insecta; Diptera; Drosophilidae. The record is from RNAcentral.
ACUGCAUUUCUAAUGCAGUCAUCUUGACCCGCUUCUCUUUGUUUUUUUAUUAUUUACCGUUCUUCGGUAGAGUCCUGUAGUCCUAUGUCCUAUGAUAGUUUUAAACUUUUUAUAAUAAAUUUGUUGAACAUGUAUUAUUUAUGAUAAUAUACCACGCUGGGAUACCUCAUAUGUACAUAAAUACAUAUUUGAUUUUGUAAUGCAGUGUAAAUUAUAAGAAAACACACAAUGUAGAUCAGCUCAACUCUCUUGAAUUCAGGAAUAUUACCUACUGUUGAUCUGCGAUAGCGAAUAAUACUACGUAGGACCGGUUACGGAACGAGAUAUUUACUGCCUCAGUCACCAGUGUGGACUUGCGCCUUAAGUGAGAUUCUAACAUAAACAGUGCCGGCGAAAUAUAUUCUUCCACCAAUCAGAUAAGUUUCAAUCCACAUCCAACGGUUCGAACU